RNAcentral lists this ribosomal RNA (497 nucleotides) under uncultured bacterium. Its description in RNAcentral is "partial 16S ribosomal RNA". It matches the Rfam family "Bacterial small subunit ribosomal RNA", at positions 28 to 507 of the family's 1533-position model. The record is from RNAcentral.
GAUGAACGCUGGCGGCGUGCCUAAUACAUGCAAGUCGAGCGAACAGACGAGGAGCUUGCUCCUCUGACGUUAGCGGCGGACGGGGGAGUAAAACGUGGAUAACCUACCUAUAAGACUGGGAUAACUUCGGGAAACCGGAGCUAAUACCGGAUAAUCUAUUGAACCGCAUGGUUCAAUAGUGAAAGACGGUUUUGCUGUCACUUAUAGAUGGAUCCGCGCCGCAUUAGCUAGUUGGUAAGGUAACGGCUUACCAAGGCAACGAUGCGUAGCCGACCUGAGAGGGUGAUCGGCCACACUGGAACUGAGACACGGUCCAGACUCCUACGGGAGGCAGCAGUAGGGAAUCUUCCGCAAUGGGCGAAAGCCUGACGGAGCAACGCCGCGUGAGUGAUGAAGGUCUUCGGAUCGUAAAACUCUGUUAUUAGGGAAGAACAAAUGUGUAAGUAACUAUGCACGUCUUGACGGUACCUAAUCAGAAAGCCACGGCUAACUACGUG